Molecule: ribosomal RNA, 253 nt
Filed under: uncultured bacterium
Lineage: Bacteria
Description: partial 16S ribosomal RNA
Rfam family: Bacterial small subunit ribosomal RNA
Source: RNAcentral
UACGUAGGGCGCAAGCGUUGUCCGGAAUUAUUGGGCGUAAAGAGCUCGUAGGCGGCCUGUUACGUCUGCUGUGAAAUCCCGGGGCUUAACCCCGGGCGUGCAGUGGAUACGGGCAGGCUGGAGGCAGGCAGGGGAGAACGGAAUUCCCGGUGUAGCGGUGAAGUGCGCAGAUAUCGGGAGGAACACCGGUGGCGAAGGCGGUUCUCUGGGCCUGUACUGACGCUGAGGAGCGAAAGCGUGGGGAGCGAACAGG